This 584-nucleotide ribosomal RNA is filed under the name uncultured bacterium. Its description in RNAcentral is "bacterial SSU rRNA". It matches the Rfam family "Bacterial small subunit ribosomal RNA", at positions 55 to 643 of the family's 1533-position model. The record is from RNAcentral.
AUGCAAGUCGAGUGCGCGGUUGUAGCAAUACAACUGGCGCACGGCGCACGGGUGCGUAACACGUGGGCAAUCUGCCCUCCGAUGGGGAAUAACUCCGGGAAACCGAAGCUAAUUCCGCAUAACAUUCCCUGGACCCUGGUUCGGGGAAUCAAAGCAGUGAUGCGUCGGAGGAGGAGCCCGCGCCCGAUUAGCUAGUUGGCGAGGUAACGGCUCACCAAGGCAAUGAUCGGUAGCUGGUCUGAGAGGAUGGCCAGCCACACUGGAACUGAGACACGGUCCAGACUCCUACGGGAGGCAGCAGUGGGGAAUCUUGCGCAAUGGGCGAAAGCCUGACGCAGCGACGCCGCGUGGGGGAUGAAGCUUCUCGGAGUGUAAACCCCUUUCGACUGGGACGAAUGCCCGCAAGGGAGUGACGGUACCAGUAGAAGAAGCCCCGGCUAACUACGUGCCAGCAGCCGCGGUAAGACGUAGGGGGCCAGCGUUGUUCGGAAUUACUGGGUGUAAAGGGUUCGUAGGCGGUGUGGCAAGUCGGGAGUGAAAUCUUUGGGCUUAACUCAAAGGCUGCUUCCGAAACUGCUGUGCUG